This 66-nucleotide transfer RNA is filed under the name Aulaconotus atronotatus. Its description in RNAcentral is "tRNA-Trp". The record is from RNAcentral. Lineage: Eukaryota; Metazoa; Arthropoda; Insecta; Coleoptera; Cerambycidae.
AAGGAUUUAAGUUAAAAAAACUAUUAACCUUCAAAGUUAACAAUAGAUUAUUUUGUCUAAGCCUUA